CAAAAUUAAGAUAAUAAAUGUUUCAAUUCAUAAUGUUAAUGUAAAAAAAAAAGUAAGUAUAAAAAGUACAUAUUUACAUAUUCACUUAACACUUUACAAUAAUGUCCCAUUAGGUAAUGUUGGUUACAAAUAUUUCAUACAGAAAAGCAAUGCAUAAACAUACAAAUGAAUGGUCAUUGGAAAAAAAAAUAUAUCACAUUUUUAAUACAAAAAACAAGUUUUGAAAAAUGGACACUUGUUUAAGGCAGACCAUUCCAAAGAGAUGGGAUGAUUUCACAUAUAUUAGUUAAUAAAGUCUUCACUUUCUUUAUCUUCUCUUAACACCAGCUUUAUUUCAGAGGGAGGUUAGAGGGGUUUCCUCCUGAGACCGGAGAGGAACAGAUUGUGGAAUUACUAUUGGGCUACAGGAGUACUGGACCUACAGGCUUCUGGCACAUGAAGAGUCACUGGAGCAUAUGUCGCCAGCACGAUUCAUUCAUUUAAAUUUAUGGAGUGGAAGUGGGCCAGGUAGCGCACCACAGUGACUGUCAACAGCACCUCCAUCUUCACAAACUUCACGUACACCGGUCCCAUCAUCCUACCAUAUGUCCCGCGAAACACAAUUUCUAAUGGACAAGGACAGCUGUAUCAGGUAAUCAAGUGGGACCUUUCACUGCAAACCAAUCAGUCUCAGUGAGCCCUAUUUGAGCAGCAUUAGCCAUCCUUCCCCUGAGCAUUACAUCAUUCUGAGGGACAACCGAGCCAAUCAACAGCCUGGCAGGAUUACACAGCAUAUGGGCAUGUCCUGACUGUGUUGGAGAACUAAACAGAGCAGCAUGAACAUUCUGCUUAACAUCUCUUAUUUCUCACUGGAAGAAGAAAGUCAUACAGGGUUGGAACAACAUGAAGCAUACAAUAAGGAGAGAGAGGCCUAACAUGACCUGUCCUGAUCCACGUCCCCAUCUAUUCACAAAGUGGUCUGUGAGCCUGCGAUGCAAAGCAAAAUGACAAUGGGAUCAGUCCGCAUUUGCAUUAUGAGCACACAAUGCAUGACACAAGCUUGCCCAGAGAGAUAUUUCUGCUCAGAAAAUAUCUGGCUUCAGAAGGAUGUGUCUGCAGUGCUCAGCAUCACUCCACUGACUCUGUCUCUUGCUUAUUAACAAACCAGCCUGUCACUUUAUAAACCCUGCUUCAGCUUUCCCUCAGACACACACACACAUACACAUCAUGAAAUACACUUAGACAAUGGCAAACUCGCAAAUUGUCCAUUUAAUUUAAGUGAAACUGUCACCGUGCACGUCAUGUCAGUCAUAUAGAGCAUGUUGAGGUAAAAACUAUUUUUAAUACAUGCAUAUUAGGGGACUUCUAUACACUAAGAUAAAUCAAAUUUAAAAUAUGACAUGAAUUUAGGCCAGCUAAUCUAUGUAUUGUGCUUUAGUUCACUUCAAAAUGUUACAGUAGGCUGUAUUAGAUAUAAUUAUCAUCAUACUUUAAAUAACAUAAUUACAAUGUUUUUAAUUAUUAGUAGGCACACUAUAUAAUUGUUGUGGUUCACAUAUUGGCUUGUUUUGAUUAAUUUUCAGCAUUAUAUCCCAAAAUGAGCUACAAAUGAGAUGAGUUUGUUUGUUUUUUUCUGCCAGUGGUGCUAUUAAGAAGAUGGGAAUGAUAACAACAAAUUUUCCUGGGUGUCUCCAAAUUCUUAGAUACCCAUAAUUAGCCAUAAAAGUGUCCCCCAUCUAGUAUGUUUAUAUUUCUCAACAUAAUGUAAUCUAGUAGUAAUAGGACAACUAAUGAACCAUAAUAUUUAAAAAUAAAAAAAUAAAAAAGAAACAGAUUAGACUGCACUGAUUAAAUAUCUUGACCCUCUUCACUUAAUCCUCAAUGUCAAAACCUGCAAUGUUUCUAACAACAGGAGCAAAGACAGCAGAAAACUACGUUUAACAUUUUAAUAUGCCUUCCAGGAUAUCUGGAAAUGUGAAUAUACAAAAAAAAAAAAAAGUAAUGACAAAACAAGAGAAUAACACCUACUCUGAAAGUUGCACACAUAACGCACAUGGAAAUGAUCUGUGCACUGAUUUGGCAAGGUUCUGUGUUUGGAUUCAGCUCCACCAUGGAUGGCUGAUGUCUGAGCAUUAUUUAUUUAUUUAUAGCAUGUGGACAAUAUUUCUUCUUCCUCUGCAGACACUGACUUCACUUUCCCAGUCUGAUAGCAUUAAAUGCCUGAAACAAACCUGAUAAAGUGGGCCUGUAUACAUUUAUAUUAAAGUAUUAAAUACUCUAUACCAGUUUACAAUAUCCACUUUAUUAGUCAAUGCAUUAAUUAUGUAUAUAGGUAAUUAGUGUCAAGAAAUGAAACAUUAUUGUAAAGUGUACAUACAUUCGGCUUUUAUUUCUUAAAUGCAUUCACUAGUCUUUGUGUGUAUUAUGUAAGCCACUCCCCUUGGAGUCUAUAGACAUUGAUAGGUCCAGAUUCUAAUGUUUAAAGGAUCUCCAGGGCCUGCGGGAGCCGAUGUAGGGCUCUUAUACAACCCCUCCAGUCUGCAGGGAGAACAAGGCAUUAGCCUUACAGCUGCUAAUGGAAUCACUUCCACCUGAAGUGAUGGACACAGUCCGGUUGGUUUCCGCUGGGAAAAGAACUGCAGCUGGGCCGAUGAAAGAAACGUUACGGCUUGUAACAAAUCCGCACAUAACGGUCUUCUCAUUCCCUCCCCUGGAGUCUUGUCACCGGCCCUGUUCAUCUAGUAAAUAACAAAGCUACUCCUGGUUAUGUCAUUAAUUAUUCCAGGAAAUAAAGGCUUGGGGCUUUAGGUAUAAACUCUGAUGAAAACCGCAGCCAGAUGAGUGAAGUCAUACAACUGCCUAAGCUCAAAUUAAAUUUGUAUUAUGACAAUGAUGAGGUAAUGCCACCUAGUUUAAUCAAGAUGCACUCGGACCAAAAUAAAAGGGGGGAAUGAUAGAGGGAUCAUCUGGACAUUGUCUGACUGACAACAGUGCCCCAACCAUCACCCUUGACCUCAGGGGUUCAUUAGUUCAGACCAGGUGGAGAAAGAAGGGAGGGGAGAUGUAUGGUUAUGGUGCAGGAAAGAGGAGGGAUUGAAUGGCCCGCGGUGGUCCAAUGUCAGACUGGGUGAUGGAUAACAGAUCCAAGCUGCUGCUCUCUGCUCUACUGCAGUCCUGUUAUCAGGACUUUUUAGAUGAAAAGAGACUUCUUGUGUUGAAUUUGGCACAGUGAUUCACCCUCAGGUCCUCUGCUUCUUUGCAUCAGUUGAAAAGUUUCACAAUUAAUGUAUGUGUGAUCAAAAAUCAGUUCCUAUUUCUCUAAUGACCAUAGCAUAAAGAGGUCACAUGGCUUUACGCUCUUUCCAGUAAUUCAAUUAGUGUCAAAGGGGUUCACUGGACUGUGCCGAGAAUGGCCCUGUGCACACAACCCCAGAGGUUAAAGUAGGAGCAGAGAAGACAGCUAGAUGGAUCAGUGCCUCCGGUUAGCUCAAGCAUGAAGAUUUAAUCAAGAUUUUAAAAAAGAUGAAUUGACUCCAUGUAAUGAAAUUGUAAUGGGCAUGGUGGGCCUAACAAAACAAAGGGGUCAGCAGGUAUAUGACAUGGAUGUUCUGCAUCUCCAGUGCUUAUCUAACCCUCUUCCAUCUUCUUUGAGAAAAUAUAUCAGAGUCAGGAGAACUGAAGAAUCCAGCCAGUGCUGAAUAGAUGUAUGAAUGUUUGAAAUCAUUUGAGAAAUACACAAGCCAGGGAUUUGUACAAUCAGCUGGUCAUUAUGUAUUGUAUAAAAGCACUAUAGAAAUAAAGAUAACUUGACUUGAUUUUAUAAAUUAAUUUUCUGUCCUAUAAAAUGCAUUCAUGGGCAGAAAAGGUCAGAUUUCAGAAGGAUCAGAAAGACUUGUAAUGUUUUUUAAAGAAGGCUCUCAUGCUCAUCAAGGCUGCAUUUAUUUGAUCAAAAAUACAGAAAAAAAGUAAUCUUGCUAAAUAUUAUUACAGUAUAAAAUAAUGGUUUCUAUUUUAAUAUCCUUUAAAAUAUCAUUUAUUUCUGUGAUGCAAAGCUGAAUUUCAGACGUCAGUGAUCUUUCACAUUUGCUGUUUUCUGUAAUAUAGGGCCUGUGGUUUUCAUAGAUUCAUCACACUCAAUUUAACAUUUCCUUCAGAAGAUACCACUCAAAUGCAGGCAGGAAAAUAAGCUGACAGAUUAAAGUGAUCCUUCAUAGCAGAAACAUUAAGAAAGAAGAGAAUUUAUCUCCAAGCCACAUUGGAGCCAAAGAAGAAAAAUGCAGCUGCCUAAGAAAAUGAUAUAUGACUUGGACUAAUGAACAAAAUCCCAUAUAUGUCUUCUCAUUACAUAAAACAUGGCAGCUUUCAGUGUUGUAUUCCUUUAUACAGAAGCAAAUCCACUGAUUUGCAAUACAUGAACACAGAAACCCACCACAGGAACCAGGUCGAUAUGUGACUGUUUUCCUUAGUCAGACAGAUUGCAGUAUCUGAAUAAGAGGCACAAAACUAUCACCUUCAACAACGCACACCAUCCAUUUGGAAUUCCGAACUGCAAUUAUUCCCUUCCUGGUGCAAGGAAGUUGCCAUAGUUACUUGGCCCCAGGCUACAUUGAGUGAAAAGGUAAACACCAAACCACAAGGCAAUAUCUGACCUGCUGUGCUUUCUAACAUUUUUCACCAAGAAAGCUGCACGCUUGAUAUUUUCUCUCUCCGAACAGCUAAUUUCUU
Molecule: long non-coding RNA, 4704 nt
Organism: Cyprinus carpio carpio
Lineage: Eukaryota; Metazoa; Chordata; Actinopteri; Cypriniformes; Cyprinidae
Source: Ensembl